This 254-nucleotide ribosomal RNA is filed under the name uncultured bacterium. Its description in RNAcentral is "partial 16S ribosomal RNA". It matches the Rfam family "Bacterial small subunit ribosomal RNA", at positions 524 to 776 of the family's 1533-position model. The record is from RNAcentral.
CACGUAGGGUGCGAGCGUUGUCCGGAAUUAUUGGGCGUAAAGAGCUCGUAGGCGGUGUGUCGCGUCGGCCGUGAAAACCUGCAGCUUAACUGUGGGCUUGCGGUCGAUACGGGCAUCACUGGAGUUCGGUAGGGGAGCAGGGAAUUCCUGGUGUAGCGGUGAAAUGCGCAGAUAUCAGGAGGAACACCGAUGGCGAAGGCAGCUCGCUGGGACGGUACUGACGCUGAGGCGCGAAAGCGUGGGGAGCGAACAGG